GGUCUUUUGGAAAAUAAUGAUGAUGAUCCAGAGUUAAUAGUUUUUAUUCCACUUCACAAAUCAUGAUGCUUUUGAGUUGGUGUUCAAUCAUGACAGACAGAGUCCAAGCGUUGAAAUUGUCACCUACAAGAGAAUUCGCUUCACAGACGAAGCAGUUAUUUUGGAUGUGGGAGACCACAUAAAUAUACAAGCCCACACAUGCA
Papaver somniferum (opium poppy) is the source of this 203-nucleotide long non-coding RNA. RefSeq lists it as uncharacterized. The record is from RefSeq and is a predicted model, not a curated record. Lineage: Eukaryota; Viridiplantae; Streptophyta; Magnoliopsida; Ranunculales; Papaveraceae. The transcript has 3 exons.